UACGGGGGGGGCAAGCGUUGUUCGGACUUACUGGGCGUAAAGGGCUCGUAGGUGGCCAACUAAGUCAGACGUGAAAUCCCUCAGCUUAACUGGGGAACUGCGUCUGAUACUGGAUGGCUUGAGUUUGGGAGAGGGAUGCGGAAUUCCAGGUGUAGCGGUGAAAUGCGUAGAUAUCUGGAGGAACACCGGUGGCGAAGGCGGCAUCCUGGACCAACACUGACGCUGAGUGAGCGAAAGCCAGGGGAGCAAACGGG
Molecule: ribosomal RNA, 254 nt
Filed under: uncultured bacterium
Lineage: Bacteria
Description: partial 16S ribosomal RNA
Rfam family: Bacterial small subunit ribosomal RNA
Source: RNAcentral